GUUAAGUUGUGCAAGUAUAAC
This 21-nucleotide non-coding RNA is filed under the name Caenorhabditis elegans. Lineage: Eukaryota; Metazoa; Nematoda; Chromadorea; Rhabditida; Rhabditidae. The record is from RNAcentral.